CUACGGGCCGCAGCAGUUAAGGAAAUUUUACAAUGCCCGCAAGGGUGAUCGAGUGAUCCAGAGUGUUUUCUUUUAGAAAACUUUUGUCUGUUGCAAAAAGACAGAUGAAUAAGGACUGGGCAAGACCGGUGCCAGCCGCCGCGGUAAUCCCGGCGGUCCAAGUCGCAUACACAUUUAUUGGGUCUAAAACAUCCGUAGCUUGUUUUGUAAGUCUCUUGUGAAAUCUGAGAUCUCAAAUCUCAGGCGUGCAAGAGAUACUGCAAUGCUAGAGACCGGAAGGCGCAAAGAGUAUGAUUGAGGUAGCGGUAAAAUGUGUUAAUCUUGAUCAGACUAACAAUGGCGAAGGCACUUUGCGAGUACGGAUCUGACAGUGAGGGAUGAAGGCUAGGGGCGCAAAAGGGAUUAGAUACCCGGGUAGUC
RNAcentral lists this ribosomal RNA (420 nucleotides) under uncultured archaeon. RNAcentral describes it as "partial 16S ribosomal RNA". It matches the Rfam family "Archaeal small subunit ribosomal RNA", at positions 323 to 746 of the family's 1478-position model. The record is from RNAcentral.